GAUGAACGCUGGCGGCGUGCCUAAUACAUGCAAGUCGAGCGAACGGACGAGAAGCUUGCUUCUCUGAUGUUAGCGGCGGACGGGUGAGUAACACGUGGAUAACCUACCUAUAAGACUGGGAUAACUUCGGGAAACCGGAGCUAAUACCGGAUAAUAUUUUGAACCGCAUGGUUCAAAAGUGAAAGACGGUCUUGCUGUCACUUAUAGAUGGAUCCGCGCUGCAUUAGCUAGUUGGUAAGGUAACGGCUUACCAAGGGAACGAUGCAUAGCCGACCUGUGAGGCGGGUCGGCCGCCCGGGAGCGGGGACGCGGUCAAGGGGCCUACGGGAGGCAGCAGUCGGGAAUCGGCCGCAGUGGGCGGGAGCCUGGCGGAACAACGCCGCGUGUGUGGUGGAGGUCUUCGGAUCGUAAAACUGUGUUAUUGGGGAUGAACAGAUGUGUAAGUAACUGUGGACAUCUUGACGGUACCUAGUCAAGAAGCCCCGGCUAACUACGUG
This 497-nucleotide ribosomal RNA is filed under the name uncultured bacterium. RNAcentral describes it as "partial 16S ribosomal RNA". It matches the Rfam family "Bacterial small subunit ribosomal RNA", at positions 28 to 507 of the family's 1533-position model. The record is from RNAcentral.